UACGGAGGGGGUUAGCGUUGUUCGGAAUUACUGGGCGUAAAGCGCGCGUAGGCGGACUGUUAAGUCAGAGGUGAAAUCCCAGGGCUCGACCCUGGAACUGCCUUUGAUACUGGCAGUCUCGAGUUCGAGAGAGGUGAGUGGAAUUCCGAGUGUAGAGGUGAAAUUCGUAGAUAUUCGGAGGAACACCAGUAGCGAAGGCGGCUCACUGGCUCGAUACUGACGCUGAGGUGCGAAAGUGUGGGGAGCAAACAGG
Molecule: unclassified non-coding RNA, 253 nt
Filed under: uncultured Rhodobacterales bacterium
Lineage: Bacteria; Pseudomonadati; Pseudomonadota; Alphaproteobacteria; Rhodobacterales
Description: contains 16S-23S intergenic spacer region
Rfam family: Bacterial small subunit ribosomal RNA
Source: RNAcentral